GAACGAUCCUUCGGGAUAGUGGCGGACGGGUGAGUAACACGUGGGAACGUGCCCUUUGGUUCGGAACAACACGGGGAAACUUGUGCUAAUACCGGAUGUGCCCUUCGGGGGAAAGAUUUAUCGCCAUUGGAGCGGCCCGCGUCUGAUUAGCUAGUUGGUGAGGUAAAAGCUCACCAAGGCGACGAUCAGUAGCUGGUCUGAGAGGGUGACCAGCCACAUUGGGACUGAGACACGGCCCAAACUCCUACGGGAGGCAGCAGUGGGGAAUCUUGCGCAAUGGGCGAAAGCCUGACGCAGCCAUGCCGCGUGGAUGAUGAAGGUCUUAGGAUUGUAAAAUCCUUUCAGCGGGGACGAUAAUGACGGUACCCGCAGAAGAAGCCCCGGCUAACUUCGUG
RNAcentral lists this ribosomal RNA (395 nucleotides) under uncultured bacterium. RNAcentral's name for it is "bacterial SSU rRNA". It matches the Rfam family "Bacterial small subunit ribosomal RNA", at positions 64 to 507 of the family's 1533-position model. The record is from RNAcentral.